GCCAGACUCCUACGGGAGGCAGCAGUGGGGGAUAUUGCACAAUGGGGGAAACCCUGAUGCAGCGACGCCGCGUGUGGGAAGACGGUCCUCUGGAUUGUAAACCACUGUCCCCAGGGACGAAGAUGACGGUACCUGGGGAGGAAGCUCCGGCCAACUACGUGCCAGCAGCCGCGGUAAUACGUAGGGGGCAAGCGUUAUCCGGAAUUACUGGGUGUAAAGGGAGCGUAGACGGUGAAGUAAGUCUGGAGUGAAAGGCGGGGGCCCAACCCCCGGACUGCUCUGGAAACUAUUUGACUGGAGUGCAGGAGAGGUAAGCGGAAUUCCUAGUGUAGCGGUGAAAUGCGUAGAUAUUAGGAGGAACACCAGUGGCGAAGGCGGCUUACUGGACUGUAACUGACGUUGAGGCUCGAAAGCGUGGGGAGCAAACAGGAUUAGAUACCCGAGUAGA
This 448-nucleotide ribosomal RNA is filed under the name uncultured bacterium. Its description in RNAcentral is "bacterial SSU rRNA". It matches the Rfam family "Bacterial small subunit ribosomal RNA", at positions 330 to 794 of the family's 1533-position model. The record is from RNAcentral.